RNAcentral lists this ribosomal RNA (101 nucleotides) under Phialocephala fortinii. RNAcentral's name for it is "partial 5.8S ribosomal RNA". It matches the Rfam family "5.8S ribosomal RNA", at positions 57 to 154 of the family's 154-position model. Rfam says of the family: 5.8S ribosomal RNA (5.8S rRNA) is a component of the large subunit of the eukaryotic ribosome. It is transcribed by RNA polymerase I as part of the 45S precursor that also contains 18S and 28S rRNA. Functionally, it is thought that 5.8S rRNA may be involved in ribosome translocation. Lineage: Eukaryota; Fungi; Ascomycota; Leotiomycetes; Helotiales; Mollisiaceae. The record is from RNAcentral.
GAUAAGUAAUGUGAAUUGCAGAAUUCAGUGAAUCAUCGAAUCUUUGAACGCACAUUGCGCCCUGUGGUAUUCCGCAGGGCAUGCCUGUUCGAGCGUCAUUU